This 327-nucleotide ribosomal RNA is filed under the name Clostridioides difficile. RNAcentral describes it as "bacterial SSU rRNA". It matches the Rfam family "Bacterial small subunit ribosomal RNA", at positions 1042 to 1370 of the family's 1533-position model. The record is from RNAcentral. Lineage: Bacteria; Bacillati; Bacillota; Clostridia; Peptostreptococcales; Peptostreptococcaceae.
UGCAUGGUUGUCGUCAGCUCGUGUCGUGAGAUGUUGGGUUAAGUCCCGCAACGAGCGCAACCCUUGUCUUUAGUUGCCAUCAUUAAGUUGGGCACUCUAGAGAGACUGCCAGGGAUAACCUGGAGGAAGGUGGGGAUGACGUCAAAUCAUCAUGCCCCUUAUGCUUAGGGCUACACACGUGCUACAAUGGGUAGUACAGAGGGUUGCCAAGCCGUAAGGUGGAGCUAAUCCCUUAAAGCUACUCUCAGUUCGGAUUGUAGGCUGAAACUCGCCUACAUGAAGCUGGAGUUACUAGUAAUCGCAGAUCAGAAUGCUGCGGUGAAUGCG